CAUACGGCCCAGUAACGCGUAGUCAACCUACCCUAUGGACGGAAAUAACCUCGGGAAACUGAGAAUAAUAUCCGAUAGAACAUUAUGCCUGGAAUGGUUUAUGUUCCAAAUGUUUUAUCGCCGUAGGAUGGGACUGCGGCCUAUCAGUUUGUUGGUGAGGUAAUGGCCCACCAAGACUAUUACAGGUACGGGCUCUGAGAGGAGUAGCCCGGAGAUGGGUACUGAGACACGGACCCAGGCCCUAUGGGGCGCAGCAGGCGAGAAAACUUUGCAAUGUGCGAAAGCACGACAAGGUUAAUCCGAGUGAUUUCUGCUAAAGAAAUCUUUUGUUAGUCCUAGAAACACUAACGAAUAAGGGGUGGGCAAGUUCUGGUGUCAGCCGCCGCGGUAAAACCAGCACCUCAAGUGGUCAGGAUGAUUAUUGGGCCUAAAGCAUCCGUAGCCGGCUCUGUAAGUCCUCGGUUAAAUCUGUACGCUUAACGUACAGGCUGCCGGGAAUACUGCAUAGCUAGGGAGUGGGAGAGGUAGACGGUACUCGGUAGGAAGGGGUAAAAUCCUUUGAUCUAUUGAUGACCACCUGUGGCGAAGGCGGUCUACCAGAACACGUCCGACGGUGAGGGAUGAAAGCUGGGGGAGCAAACCGGAUUAGAUACCCGGGUAGUCCCAGCUGUAAACUAUGCAAACUCAGUGAUGCAUUGGCUUGUGGCCAAUGCAGUGCUGCAGGGAAGCCGUUAAGUUUGCCGCCUGGGAAGUACGUACGCAAGUAUGAAACUUAAAGGAAUUGGCGGGGGAGCACCACAAGGGGUGAAGCCUGCGGUUCAAUUGGAUUCAACGCCGGGAAGGGC
RNAcentral lists this ribosomal RNA (845 nucleotides) under uncultured archaeon. RNAcentral's name for it is "bacterial SSU rRNA". It matches the Rfam family "Archaeal small subunit ribosomal RNA", at positions 82 to 928 of the family's 1478-position model. The record is from RNAcentral.